RNAcentral lists this long non-coding RNA (605 nucleotides) under Sorghum bicolor (sorghum). RNAcentral's name for it is "long non-coding RNA (SBIC_LNC005614)". The record is from RNAcentral. Lineage: Eukaryota; Viridiplantae; Streptophyta; Magnoliopsida; Poales; Poaceae.
UCCCAUCGACCAACUGGCACGUUACAAAGCUGACGCAAAAUAGUUGAGUUGGACGGAGAAAUACUUGAUAGUAUUUCUUGCGAAAGAAUCGACAACAUCCAUGGACGAACUGUCGGAGUUCACAGCUUCAACAAUGAAUGAACCACCUUUUUUUUUUUAAAGGAAUGAAUGAACCACCUUUGGCAUCUUACACUUUUGUUUUCCCCUCGGAAAUACUGAAAAGAUGUACAUAUAUAGAAAUGGAAAAAAUGGUUUAUAAAUUGGAUUGAAAAAACAAGUGAGCAGUGGCCUUUGUGUUUUGGUCCUCUGACUGCUGUUCUUGGGCACCAUGGGUGCCAUUGUACAUAAAACUCUAUUUCUUUCUUAAUUGGGCAUCAUGGGCUCGUGACGAUCUUAUGUGCCAGACAAUUAGUGGAAACAGGAUCAACUGGAAGGAUGAUGUUCCUGGACUGACGCGAAGACAGGAUUGUUGCAUAUGUUAGUUUGGGGGUGGACAAACUGUUUACAAAUAUAAACAUCUUUCCGGUUGAUGAUGAUGAUAAACAGUUUAGUCUCUCCUAGGUACUUGCACUUCCAAUCUUAAGAGUCUGAUAAUUUCAUCGAUC